Molecule: long non-coding RNA, 8142 nt
Organism: Leptopilina boulardi
Lineage: Eukaryota; Metazoa; Arthropoda; Insecta; Hymenoptera; Figitidae
Exons: 11
Source: RefSeq, a predicted model, not a curated record
AAAUAGACACAGUCACUAAAUUUAAAAAUUAUUAAAGUUUUUAAAUAUUAAUAACAAUAAAGUACAAGGCAUUGUUUUGUCUAUUCAAGCUUCUGUGCAAAUAUUAAGUGCUUUAAAAUUUUCUUCAAAGUCAUUCUAGAUGUAUUUUCGGUCGCUGAUGAAGGAUUUGGGGUCAAAAUUGACGAUAAAUAGUCUGCCUAAGAAAUAUUGAAUUUUUUGAAAAAUUUUUUUUUACGAUAACGCAUUAAAGGUCAUAAUAGGGGUCUUCCUCUACUCGGAUCGGGCUGUCAAUUUUUCUCUACACUUUUAAGUGUAUUUUAUGCAAGAAAUUGCAAUAAAAUAGUCUGCCUAAGAAAAAUUGAAUUUUUUUGAAAAUUUUUUUUUUUCGAAAAACGAUUUAAAGGUCAAAAUAUGUGUCUUCCUCUACUCGGAUCGGGCUGUCAAUUUUUUUCUACACUUUUAGGUGUAUUUUGUGCAAGAAAUUGCAAUAAAAUAGUCUGCCUAAGUAAAAUUGAAUUUUUUUGAAUAUUUUUUUUUUUCGAAAAACGAUUUAAAGGUCAAAAUAUGUGUCUUCAUCUACUCGGAUCGGGCUGUCAAUUUUUUCUACACUUUUAGGUGUAUUUUGCGCAAGAAAUUGCAAUAAAAUAGUCUGCCUAAGAAAAAUUUAAUUAUUUUGGGAACUUUUUUAUAAUUUUGGAUUUUUGGGUUAAAUGACAUUUAGGUGGUAAUAGGUGUCUUCCUCUACUCGGAUCGGGCUGUCAAUUUUUUUCUACACUUUUAGGUGUAUUUUGUGCAAGAAAAUGCAUUAAAAUCGUCUGCCUAAGAAAAAUUAAAUUAUUUUGGGAACUUUUUUAUAAUUUUGGAUUUUUGGGUUAAAUGACAUUUAGGUGGUAAUAGGUGUCUUCCUCUACUCGGAUCGGGCUGUCAAUUUUUUUCUACACUUUUAGGUGUAUUUUGUGCAAGAAAAUGCAUUAAAAUCGUCUGCCUAAGAAAAAUUAAAUUAUUUUGGGAACUUUUUUAUAAUUUUGGAUUUAUGGGUUAAAUGACAUUUAGGUGGUAAUAGGUGUCUUCCUCUACUCUUUUUUGGCUGUCAAUUUUUUUCUACACUUUUGGGUGUAUUUUGUGCAAGAAAAUGCAUUAAAAUCGUCUGCCUAAGAAAAAUUAAAUUAUUUUGGGAACUUUUUUAUAAUUUUGGAUUUAUGGGUUAAAUGACAUUUAGGUGGUAAUAGGUGUCUUCCUCUACUCGGAUCGGACUGUCAAUUUUUUUCUACACUUUUAGGUGUAUUUUGUGCAAGAAAAUGCAUUAAAAUCGUCUGCCUAAGAAAAAUUAAAUUAUUUUGGGAACUUUUUUAUAAUUUUGGAUUUAUGGGUUAAAUGACAUUUAGGUGGUAAUAGGUGUCUUCCUCUACUCGGAUCGGGCUGUCAAUUUUUUUCUACACUUUUAGGUGUAUUUUGUGCAAGAAAAUGCAUUAAAAUCGUCUGCCUAAGAAAAAUUAAAUUAUUUUGGGAACUUUUUUAUAAUUUUGGAUUUAUGGGUUAAAUGACAUUUAGGUGGUAAUAAGUGUCUUCCUCUACUCUUUUUUGGCUGUCAAUUUUUUUCUACACUUUUAGGUGUAUUUUGUGCAAGAAAAUGCAUUAAAAUCGUCUGCCUAAGAAAAAUUAAAUUAUUUUGGGAACUUUUUUAUAAUUUUGGAUUUAUGGGUUAAAUGACAUUUAGGUGGUAAUAGGUGUCUUCCUCUACUCGGAUCGGGCUGUCAAUUUUUUUCUACACUUUUAGGUGUAUUUUGUGCAAGAAAAUGCAUUAAAAUCGUCUGCCUAAGAAAAAUUAAAUUAUUUUGGGAACUUUUUUAUAAUUUUGGAUUUUUGGGUUAAAUGACAUUUAGGUGGUAAUAGGUGUCUUCCUCUACUCGGAUCGGGCUGUCAAUUUUUUUCUACACUUUUAGGUGUAUUUUGUGCAAGAAAAUGCAUUAAAAUCGUCUGCCUAAGAAAAAUUAAAUUAUUUUGGGAACUUUUUUAUAAUUUUGGAUUUAUGGGUUAAAUGACAUUUAGGUGGUAAUAGGUGUCUUCCUCUACUCUUUUUUGGCUGUCAAUUUUUUUCUACACUUUUGGGUGUAUUUUGUGCAAGAAAAUGCAUUAAAAUCGUCUGCCUAAGAAAAAUUAAAUUAUUUUGGGAACUUUUUUAUAAUUUUGGAUUUAUGGGUUAAAUGACAUUUAGGUGGUAAUAGGUGUCUUCCUCUACUCGGAUCGGACUGUCAAUUUUUUUCUACACUUUUAGGUGUAUUUUGUGCAAGAAAAUGCAUUAAAAUCGUCUGCCUAAGAAAAAUUAAAUUAUUUUGGGAACUUUUUUAUAAUUUUGGAUUUAUGGGUUAAAUGACAUUUAGGUGGUAAUAGGUGUCUUCCUCUACUCUUUUUUGGCUGUCAAUUUUUUUCUACACUUUUGGGUGUAUUUUGUGCAAGAAAAUGCAUUAAAAUCGUCUGCCUAAGAAAAAUUAAAUUAUUUUGGGAACUUUUUUAUAAUUUUGGAUUUAUGGGUUAAAUGACAUUUAGGUGGUAAUAGGUGUCUUCCUCUACUCGGAUCGGACUGUCAAUUUUUUUCUACACUUUUAGGUGUAUUUUGUGCAAGAAAAUGCAUUAAAAUCGUCUGCCUAAGAAAAAUUAAAUUAUUUUGGGAACUUUUUUAUAAUUUUGGAUUUAUGGGUUAAAUGACAUUUAGGUGGUAAUAGGUGUCUUCCUCUACUCGGAUCGGGCUGUCAAUUUUUUUCUACACUUUUAGGUGUAUUUUGUGCAAGAAAAUGCAUUAAAAUCGUCUGCCUAAGAAAAAUUAAAUUAUUUUGGGAACUUUUUUAUAAUUUUGGAUUUAUGGGUUAAAUGACAUUUAGGUGGUAAUAAGUGUCUUCCUCUACUCUUUUUUGGCUGUCAAUUUUUUUCUACACUUUUAGGUGUAUUUUGUGCAAGAAAAUGCAUUAAAAUCGUCUGCCUAAGAAAAAUUAAAUUAUUUUGGGAACAUUUUUAUAAUUUUGGAUUUAUGGGUUAAAUGACAUUUAGGUGGUAAUAAGUGUCUUCCUCUACUCGGAUCGGGCUGUCAAUUUUUUUCUACACUUUUAGGUGUAUUUUGUGCAAGAAAAUGCAUUAAAAUCGUCUGCCUAAGAAAAAUUAAAUUAUUUUGGGAACUUUUUUAUAAUUUUGGAUUUUUGGGUUAAAUGACAUUUAGGUGGUAAUAGGUGUCUUCCUCUACUCGGAUCGGACUGUCAAUUUUUUUCUACACUUUUAGGUGUAUUUUGUGCAAGAAAAUGCAUUAAAAUCGUCUGCCUAAGAAAAAUUAAAUUAUUUUGGGAACUUUUUUAUAAUUUUGGAUUUAUGGGUUAAAUGACAUUUAGGUGGUAAUAGGUGUCUUCCUCUACUCGGAUCGGGCUGUCAAUUUUUUUCUACACUUUUAGGUGUAUUUUGUGCAAGAAAAUGCAUUAAAAUCGUCUGCCUAAGAAAAAUUAAAUUAUUUUGGGAACUUUUUUAUAAUUUUGGAUUUUUGGGUUAAAUGACAUUUAGGUGGUAAUAGGUGUCUUCCUCUACUCGGAUCGGGCUGUCAAUUUUUUUCUACACUUUUAGGUGUAUUUUGUGCAAGAAAAUGCAUUAAAAUCGUCUGCCUAAGAAAAAUUAAAUUAUUUUGGGAACUUUUUUAUAAUUUUGGAUUUAUGGGUUAAAUGACAUUUAGGUGGUAAUAGGUGUCUUCCUCUACUCUUUUUUGGCUGUCAAUUUUUUUCUACACUUUUGGGUGUAUUUUGUGCAAGAAAAUGCAUUAAAAUCGUCUGCCUAAGAAAAAUUAAAUUAUUUUGGGAACUUUUUUAUAAUUUUGGAUUUAUGGGUUAAAUGACAUUUAGGUGGUAAUAGGUGUCUUCCUCUACUCGGAUCGGACUGUCAAUUUUUUUCUACACUUUUAGGUGUAUUUUGUGCAAGAAAAUGCAUUAAAAUCGUCUGCCUAAGAAAAAUUAAAUUAUUUUGGGAACUUUUUUAUAAUUUUGGAUUUAUGGGUUAAAUGACAUUUAGGUGGUAAUAGGUGUCUUCCUCUACUCGGAUCGGGCUGUCAAUUUUUUUCUACACUUUUAGGUGUAUUUUGUGCAAGAAAAUGCAUUAAAAUCGUCUGCCUAAGAAAAAUUAAAUUAUUUUGGGAACUUUUUUAUAAUUUUGGAUUUAUGGGUUAAAUGACAUUUAGGUGGUAAUAAGUGUCUUCCUCUACUCUUUUUUGGCUGUCAAUUUUUUUCUACACUUUUAGGUGUAUUUUGUGCAAGAAAAUGCAUUAAAAUCGUCUGCCUAAGAAAAAUUAAAUUAUUUUGGGAACUUUUUUAUAAUUUUGGAUUUAUGGGUUAAAUGACAUUUAGGUGGUAAUAAGUGUCUUCCUCUACUCGGAUCGGGCUGUCAAUUUUUUUCUACACUUUUAGGUGUAUUUUGUGCAAGAAAAUGCAUUAAAAUCGUCUGCCUAAGAAAAAUUAAAUUAUUUUGGGAACUUUUUUAUAAUUUUGGAUUUUUGGGUUAAAUGACAUUUAGGUGGUAAUAGGUGUCUUCCUCUACUCGGAUCGGACUGUCAAUUUUUUUCUACACUUUUAGGUGUAUUUUGUGCAAGAAAAUGCAUUAAAAUCGUCUGCCUAAGAAAAAUUAAAUUAUUUUGGGAACUUUUUUAUAAUUUUGGAUUUAUGGGUUAAAUGACAUUUAGGUGGUAAUAGGUGUCUUCCUCUACUCGGAUCGGGCUGUCAAUUUUUUUCUACACUUUUAGGUGUAUUUUGUGCAAGAAAAUGCAUUAAAAUCGUCUGCCUAAGAAAAAUUAAAUUAUUUUGGGAACUUUUUUAUAAUUUUGGAUUUAUGGGUUAAAUGACAUUUAGGUGGUAAUAGGUGUCUUCCUCUACUCGGAUCGGGCUGUCAAUUUUUUUCUACACUUUUAGGUGUAUUUUGUGCAAGAAAAUGCAUUAAAAUCGUCUGCCUAAGAAAAAUUAAAUUAUUUUGGGAACUUUUUUAUAAUUUUGGAUUUAUGGGUUAAAUGACAUUUAGGUGGUAAUAAGUGUCUUCCUCUACUCGGAUCGGGCUGUCAAUUUUUUUCUACACUUUUAGGUGUAUUUUGUGAAGGAAAAUGCAUUAAAAUCGUCUGCCUAAGAAAAAUUAAAUUAUUUUGGAAACUUUUUUAUAAUUUUGGAUUUUUGGGUUAAAUGACAUUUAGGUGGUAAUAGGUGUCUUCCUCUACUCGGAUCGGGCUGUCAAUUUUUUUCUACACUUUUAGGUGUAUUUUGUGCAAGAAAAUGCAUUAAAAUCGUCUGCCUAAGAAAAAUUAAAUUAUUUUGGGAACUUUUUUAUAAUUUUGGAUUUAUGGGUUAAAUGACAUUUAGGUGGUAAUAGGUGUCUUCCUCUACUCGGAUCGGGCUGUCAAUUUUUUUCUACACUUUUAGGUGUAUUUUGUGCAAGAAAAUGCAUUAAAAUCGUCUGCCUAAGAAAAAUUAAAUUAUUUUGGGAACUUUUUUAUAAUUUUGGAUUUAUGGGUUAAAUGACAUUUAGGUGGUAAUAGGUGUCUUCCUCUACUCGGAUCGGGCUGUCAAUUUUUUUCUACACUUUUAGGUGUAUUUUGUGCAAGAAAAUGCAUUAAAAUCGUCUGCCUAAGAAAAAUUAAAUUAUUUUGGGAACUUUUUUAUAAUUUUGGAUUUAUGGGUUAAAUGACAUUUAGGUGGUAAUAAGUGUCUUCCUCUACUCGGAUCGGGCUGUCAAUUUUUUUCUACACUUUUAGGUGUAUUUUGUGAAGGAAAAUGCAUUAAAAUCGUCUGCCUAAGAAAAAUUAAAUUAUUUUGGAAACUUUUUUAUAAUUUUGGAUUUUUGGGUUAAAUGACAUUUAGGUGGUAAUAGGUGUCUUCCUCUACUCGGAUCGGGCUGUCAAUUUUUUUCUACACUUUUAGGUGUAUUUUGUGCAAGAAAAUGCAUUAAAAUCGUCUGCCUAAGAAAAAUUAAAUUAUUUUGGGAACUUUUUUAUAAUUUUGGAUUUAUGGGUUAAAUGACAUUUAGGUGGUAAUAGGUGUCUUCCUCUACUCGGAUCGGGCUGUCAAUUUUUUUCUACACUUUUAGGUGUAUUUUGUGCAAGAAAAUGCAUUAAAAUCGUCUGCCUAAGAAAAAUUAAAUUAUUUUGGGAACUUUUUUAUAAUUUUGGAUUUAUGGGUUAAAUGACAUUUAGGUGGUAAUAAGUGUCUUCCUCUACUCUUUUUUGGCUGUCAAUUUUUUUCUACACUUUUAGGUGUAUUUUGUGCAAGAAAAUGCUUUAAAAUCGUCUGCCUAAGAAAAAUUAAAUUAUUUUGGGAACUUUUUUAUAAUUUUGGAUUUAUGGGUUAAAUGACAUUUAGGUGGUAAUAGGUGUCUUCCUCUACUCGGAUCGGGCUGUCAAUUUUUUUCUACACUUUUAGGUGUAUUUUGUGCAAGAAAAUGCAUUAAAAUCGUCUGCCUAAGAAAAAUUAAAUUAUUUUGGGAACUUUUUUAUAAUUUUGGAUUUAUGGGUUAAAUGACAUUUAGGUGGUAAUAGGUGUCUUCCUCUACUCGGAUCGGGCUGUCAAUUUUUUUCUACACUUUUAGGUGUAUUUUGUGCAAGAAAAUGCAUUAAAAUCGUCUGCCUAAGAAAAAUUAAAUUAUUUUGGGAACUUUUUUAUAAUUUUGGAUUUAUGGGUUAAAUGACAUUUAGGUGGUAAUAAGUGUCUUCCUCUACUCGGAUCGGGCUGUCAAUUUUUUUCUACACUUUUAGGUGUAUUUUGUGAAGGAAAAUGCAUUAAAAUCGUCUGCCUAAGAAAAAUUAAAUUAUUUUGGAAACUUUUUUAUAAUUUUGGAUUUUUGGGUUAAAUGACAUUUAGGUGGUAAUAGGUGUCUUCCUCUACUCGGAUCGGGCUGUCAAUUUUUUUCUACACUUUUAGGUGUAUUUUGUGCAAGAAAAUGCAUUAAAAUCGUCUGCCUAAGAAAAAUUAAAUUAUUUUGGGAACUUUUUUAUAAUUUUGGAUUUAUGGGUUAAAUGACAUUUAGGUGGUAAUAGGUGUCUUCCUCUACUCGGAUCGGGCUGUCAAUUUUUUUCUACACUUUUAGGUGUAUUUUGUGCAAGAAAAUGCAUUAAAAUCGUCUGCCUAAGAAAAAUUAAAUUAUUUUGGGAACUUUUUUAUAAUUUUGGAUUUAUGGGUUAAAUGACAUUUAGGUGGUAAUAAGUGUCUUCCUCUACUCUUUUUUGGCUGUCAAUUUUUUUCUACACUUUUAGGUGUAUUUUGUGCAAGAAAAUGCUUUAAAAUCGUCUGCCUAAGAAAAAUUAAAUUAUUUUGGGAACUUUUUUAUAAUUUUGGAUUUAUGGGUUAAAUGACAUUUAGGUGGUAAUAAGUGUCUUCCUCUACUCUUUUUUGGCUGUCAAUUUUUUUCUACACUUUUAGGUGUAUUUUGUGCAGGAAAAUGCAUUAAAAUCGUCUGCCUAAGAAAAAUUAAAUUAUUUUGGAAACUUUUUUAUAAUUUUGGAUUUUUGGGUUAAAUGACAUUUAGGUGGUAAUAGGUGUCUUCCUCUACUCGGAUCGGGCUGUCAAUUUUUUUCUACACUUUUAGGUGUAUUUUGUGCAAGAAAAUGCAUUAAAAUCGUCUGCCUAAGAAAAAUUAAAUUAUUUUGGGAACUUUUUUAUAAUUUUGGAUUUAUGGGUUAAAUGACAUUUAGGUGGUAAUAGGUGUCUUCCUCUACUCGGAUCGGACUGUCAAUUUUUUUCUACACUUUUAGGUGUAUUUUGUGCAAGAAAAUGCAUUAAAAUCGUCUGCCUAAGAAAAACUAAAUUAUUUUGGGAACUUUUUUAUAAUUUUGGAUUUAUGGGUUAAAUGACAUUUAGGUGGUAAUAAGUGUCUUCCUCUACUCUUUUUUGGCUGUCGAUUUUUUUCUACACUUUUAGGUGUAUUUUGUGCAAGAAUAUGCAAUAAAAUCGUCUGCCUAAGAAAAAUUGAAUUUUUUUGGAAAAUUUUUUUUUUACCUGGAUGACUUUUUGGUGGUAAUAGAGGUCUUCCUCUACACGGAUUUGGCUGUCAAUUUUUUGCUACACUUUUAGGUGUAUUUUGUUCAAGAAUAUGCAAUAAAAUCGUCCGCCUAAAAAAAAUUGAAUUUUUUUGGAAAUUUUU